This 478-nucleotide ribosomal RNA is filed under the name uncultured bacterium. RNAcentral's name for it is "partial 16S ribosomal RNA". It matches the Rfam family "Bacterial small subunit ribosomal RNA", at positions 28 to 523 of the family's 1533-position model. The record is from RNAcentral.
GACGAACGCUGGCGGCGUGCUUAACACAUGCAAGUCGAACGGUAAGGCCCUUCGGGGUACACGAGUGGCGAACGGGUGAGUAACACGUGGGUGAUCUGCCCUGCACUUCGGGAUAAGCCUGGGAAACUGGGUCUAAUACCGGAUAGGACCACUGCCUGCAUGGGUGGUGGUGGAAAGCUUUUGCGGUGUGGGAUGGGCCCGCGGCCUAUCAGGUUGUUGGUGGGGUGAUGGCCUACCAAGGCGACGACGGGUAGCCGGCCUGAGAGGGUGACCGGCCACACUGGGACUGAGAUACGGCCCAGACUCCUACGGGAGGCAGCAGUGGGGAAUAUUGCACAAUGGGCGCAAGCCUGAUGCAGCGACGCCGCGUGAGGGAUGACGGCCUUCGGGUUGUAAACCUCUUUCAGCACCGACGAAGCGCAAGUGACGGUAGGUGCGGAAGAAGGACCGGCCAACUACGUGCCAGCCGCCGCAGUAA